RNAcentral lists this ribosomal RNA (253 nucleotides) under uncultured bacterium. RNAcentral's name for it is "partial 16S ribosomal RNA". It matches the Rfam family "Bacterial small subunit ribosomal RNA", at positions 524 to 776 of the family's 1533-position model. The record is from RNAcentral.
UACGUAGGGUGCGAGCGUUAAUCGGAAUUACUGGGCGUAAAGCGUGCGUAGGCGGUUCGUUGUGUCUGUGGUGAAAGCCCCGGGCUUAACCUGGGAAUGGCCAUGGAAACUGGCGAGCUGGAGUGUGGCAGAGGAGGGUGGAAUUCCGCGUGUAGCAGUGAAAUGCGCAGAUAUCAGGAAGAACACCCGUGGCUAAGGCGGUUCUCUAGUACGGUACUGACGCUGAGACGCGAAAGCGUGGGGAGCGAACAGG